GAUGAACGCUGGCGGCGUGCCUAACACAUGCAAGUCGAACGAAGCUUGACGGAUGAUUUCUUCGGAAUGAAACCAGAUAUGACUUAGUGGCGGACGGGUGAGUAACACGUGAGCAACCUGCCUUUCAGAGGGGGAUAACGGCUGGAAACGGUCGCUAAUACCGCAUGAUGUGUUCGGAUGGCAUCAUCUGAACAUCAAAGAUUUAUCGCUGAAAGAUGGGCUCGCGUCUGAUUAGAUAGUUGGUGGGGUAACGGCCUACCCAGUCUACGAUCAGUAGCCGGAGUGAGGGGGUGAACGGCCACAUUGGGACUGAGAUACGGCACAGACUCCUACGGGGGGCAGCAGUGGAGAAUAUUGCACAAUGGGGGAAACUCUGAUGCAGCAGCGCCGCGUGGAGGAUGAGGGUUUUCGGAGUGUAAACUUCUUUUCUUAGUGGCGAAGACAGUGACGGUAGCUAAUGAAUAAGCAUCGGCUAACUACGUG
Molecule: ribosomal RNA, 483 nt
Filed under: uncultured bacterium
Lineage: Bacteria
Description: partial 16S ribosomal RNA
Rfam family: Bacterial small subunit ribosomal RNA
Source: RNAcentral